GCCUGAGUGGCGGAAUGGUAGACGCGACGGAUUCAAAAUCCGUUUCCUCACGGAGUGCCGGUUCAAGUCCGGCCUUGGGUACCA
RNAcentral lists this transfer RNA (84 nucleotides) under Paramylibacter ulvae. RNAcentral's name for it is "Amylibacter ulvae tRNA-Leu(caa)". It matches the Rfam family "tRNA". Rfam says of the family: Transfer RNA (tRNA) molecules are approximately 80 nucleotides in length. The record is from RNAcentral. Lineage: Bacteria; Pseudomonadati; Pseudomonadota; Alphaproteobacteria; Rhodobacterales; Paracoccaceae. RNAcentral also lists the same sequence under 1 other name.